Molecule: small nucleolar RNA, 136 nt
Organism: Loxodonta africana (African savanna elephant)
Lineage: Eukaryota; Metazoa; Chordata; Mammalia; Proboscidea; Elephantidae
Product: small nucleolar RNA SNORA67
Source: Ensembl
UCCCAAGGAGAUUCUGUUUCUAGUGGACAGAUCAUAUCCCCCAAGAAUGUAGCCUCUUGGGAAAAUAUCUGGCAUUCUUGAGAAUAUUGAGAAUGAGAGAAUAUGCUUCUUGUGUUCCCUUUUAUUAUUUGUAUAC